Molecule: ribosomal RNA, 616 nt
Filed under: uncultured fungus
Lineage: Eukaryota; Fungi
Description: eukaryotic LSU rRNA
Rfam family: Eukaryotic large subunit ribosomal RNA
Source: RNAcentral
CCCGCUGAACUUAAGCAUAUCAAUAAGCGGAGGAAAAGAAACUAACUAGGAUUCCCUUAGUAACGGCGAGCGAACCGGGAAUAGCCCAACUUGAAAAUCUCCCUUUGGAGAAUUGUAGUCUAGAGAAGCGCCCUCAUGGGCUGGCGGAACUCAAGUCGGAUCGAAUGCCGCGUCAGAGAGGGUGAUAACCCCGUCGGUUCCUGCCUAGUCCUUCCACGAGGUGCUUUCCACGAGUCGGGUUGUUUGGGAAUGCAGCCCUAAUUUGGAGGUAAAUCCCUUCUAAGGCUAAAUACUGCUGAGAGACCGAUAGCGAACAAGUACCGUGAGGGAAAGAUGAAAAGAACUUUGAAAAGAGAGUUAAAAGUGCUUGAAAUUGUUGAGAGGGAAGCGAUUGGCGCUUGUGGGUGCGCCCAGGCUUAAGCGGUCCUAACGGCCCGUUGAAUGUGCUGGGUGCUGGUCAGAGUGGGUUGGUUUGGCGGGAUAAAAGUCGGGUCCACCCAGGUAACCCGGCCGAUGCCGCCGAACCGACCAAGGUGUGAAGAGCGCUCUGUCCUUCGGGAUCUGCGUUCUAAAGACUCUGGCAGAAUAGCGUCAAUCGACCCGUCUUGAAACACGG